UUGCAAUGAUGAUGUAAUGAAUUUCUUCACCUGAGAAUUUUAAUGAAGACCUUUUAAACGAGCUUUUUAAACCUGAGCAAA
This is a small nucleolar RNA of Pecten maximus, 81 nucleotides long. The record is from RefSeq and is a predicted model, not a curated record. NCBI's taxonomy places the organism in Eukaryota, Metazoa, Mollusca, Bivalvia, Pectinida, Pectinidae.